Long non-coding RNA from Amphiprion ocellaris (clown anemonefish), 337 nucleotides. The record is from Ensembl. NCBI's taxonomy places the organism in Eukaryota, Metazoa, Chordata, Actinopteri, Pomacentridae.
GGCAAAGUUUCAGUGCAUUCCGUUGAUGUAGACGGCGUGAAAACGGAAACAAGUAUGCCAGCUCACUGUGCUGCAUACAAUUACACACUACGUCGUACGAUUGAGACAAGGAAACUUGGAAUGACUUUUCAUAGGUUUCCCAGAGACUAUGGGUUGAGGAGGAAUUGGAAGUUUGUCGGCUUAGACCUGGUGUCAUUCCAUCAGUGUUAAACUUCCCGGCUCAUCUUGGAAGAGUACGUGCCAGAAAGACCACGACCAAGCAGCCUUGAGAUCUUAGACAGCGUCUCCCUCAGACCAAAGAACUACAGACUCUUCACAACCUGCUCAAACUCUUGGU